GCUCUUAUGGCCAAGUUGGUAACACCUCACUAGUAAUGAGGAGAUCGUAGGUUCGAAUCCUGCUGAGAGCA
This 71-nucleotide transfer RNA is filed under the name Candida albicans. It matches the Rfam family "tRNA". From Rfam's summary of the family: Transfer RNA (tRNA) molecules are approximately 80 nucleotides in length. Their secondary structure includes four short double-helical elements and three loops (D, anti-codon, and T loops). Lineage: Eukaryota; Fungi; Ascomycota; Pichiomycetes; Serinales; Debaryomycetaceae. The record is from Rfam by way of RNAcentral.